This 300-nucleotide ribosomal RNA is filed under the name uncultured bacterium. RNAcentral's name for it is "bacterial SSU rRNA". It matches the Rfam family "Bacterial small subunit ribosomal RNA", at positions 32 to 323 of the family's 1533-position model. The record is from RNAcentral.
AAUCAACGCUGGCGGCGUGCCUCAGACAUGCAAGUCGAACGCGAAAGUUUCCUUCGGGAAGCGAGUAGAGUGGCGCACGGGUGAGUAACACGUAAGUAAUCUACCCUUGGGUGGGGAAUAACAUCGGGAAACCGAUGCUAAUACCGCAUAAUGCAGCGGCUUCAUAUGAAGACAGUUGUUAAAGCAUUUAUGUGCCUGAGGAGGAGCUUGCGGCAGAUUAGCUAGUUGGUAAGGUAAUGGCUUACCAAGGCGACGAUCUGUAGCCGACCUGAGAGGGUGGUCGGUCACACUGACACUGAA